GCCUUCUGCUGGGAUCGCUGGCAGGCUGAGGGAGAAACUGGUGGCUGCACCGUGGGGGAGAAAUAGGUGUGUCUGUCUCCCCACCCAGCCAGGUGGAGCUUGGAGUGUUUGUGCUCUUCCCCAUGCCAUUCCUUCCUCCUACCUCCUAGCCCGAAAUUGCAUAGUCAUCUGCAGAAGAAAGACAAGUUCUGGCUUGGUUUAUUUUCAGUUUUUUAAAAGCCCAGAAGGUCUCUUCCCAAAUACUGCCUAAUAAGAAAUCAAGACGAUUAAAGACAAUUGUUACCAUACUUUUAGCAGCGCUGUGCAUUCCCAGUAUACACCGUGACUUGGAAAAGCCAAGACCUUAGGAAAAGUGUUCGUGGAGUCCAGAGUUUUCCUUGGGUGUCAUUCCUCAAGUGCCUGGGCGUGGUACCUGCCGACUAAGGCUUGUGUCUCCUGGUGAGUUGAUUUCAGCACCCAGUCUGACCUUCAAGUGACCUAAACUUCAGCAUGAAGACUUGAUGGCACAGAGCUCCCAGGAACAGAUAAAAAAGUGGAGAAGGGCUGUUGACUUCUCUGGAUUAACAGUGUGAAGCUGAAAAGCUGCUAGCUCUUGCCCGGCUGGGACCAGCCAUGCCUUGCCUCAGAACUUGCUGAGACUGAGAAUCAGGUUCAGCAAUUGCCGAUGGUCUGGCCUAUCAUCCCCAUGUAGCAUAUGGCUUGUCCCGUGCCUGCCUGCUUGACCUUAAAGGACAAACCAGGGAACACUGCACAGUAAGUAGGUAAGCUUCUUAGAGUUCCUCAGAAACACUGAAUCAUGCAUCUCCUAGA
This is a long non-coding RNA of Mus musculus (house mouse), 810 nucleotides long. RefSeq annotates it as predicted gene, 29826. NCBI's taxonomy places the organism in Eukaryota, Metazoa, Chordata, Mammalia, Rodentia, Muridae. The transcript is spliced from 4 exons. The record is from RefSeq and is a predicted model, not a curated record.